Molecule: unclassified non-coding RNA, 353 nt
Filed under: soil metagenome
Description: partial contains 5.8S ribosomal RNA, internal transcribed spacer 2, and large subunit ribosomal RNA
Rfam family: 5.8S ribosomal RNA (bases 1-120)
Source: RNAcentral
GAUGAAGAACGUAGCGAAACGCGAUAUGUAAUGUGAAUUGCAGAAUUCAGUGAAUCAUCGAAUCUUUGAACGCACAUGGCGCCUUCCAGUAUCCUGGGAGGCAUGCCUGUCCGAGCGUCGUUUCAACCCUCGAGCCCUCGUGGCCCGGCGUUGGGGAUCUGCCACGGCAGGCCCCGAAAUACAGUGGCGGACCCGUUAGGCCCUUCCUUUGCGUAGUAGCAUCAGCCUCGCAUCGGGAGCCGGCGGGCUCUCCUGCCUCUAAACCCCCCAACAAGCCCGCUCCGGCGGCACCAAGGUUGACCUCGGAUCAGGUAGGAAUACCCACUGAACUUAAGCAUAUCAAUAAGCGGAGG